This is a long non-coding RNA of Arabidopsis thaliana (thale cress), 205 nucleotides long. RefSeq annotates it as other RNA. Lineage: Eukaryota; Viridiplantae; Streptophyta; Magnoliopsida; Brassicales; Brassicaceae. The record is from RefSeq. The transcript has a single exon.
UCUGCCGCCACCACUACGAGGGGAGUGCACUACAUUGUAAGCAAAGGUAAAUAAAAUCCUCUAAUUAGUAAUCAUUUUUUUUCUUAUCUUUGGCUUAAAUUUUUGCACAAAAAAAAAAUCUUUGGCUUAGAUCAUCAUUCAUCAACAUCCACUAUUACCAAAGAAAAUAAUAAAAAGAACCUAUUUCUUCCUUACCCACCCAUUG